Molecule: ribosomal RNA, 478 nt
Filed under: uncultured bacterium
Lineage: Bacteria
Description: partial 16S ribosomal RNA
Rfam family: Bacterial small subunit ribosomal RNA
Source: RNAcentral
GAUGAACGCUAGCGGCAGGCCUAACACAUGCCAGUCGAGGGAGAAGCCCUUUCGGGGGCAGAAACCGGCGCACGGGUGCGUAACGCGUAUGCAACCUACCUUUCACAGGGGGAUAGCCCGAAGAAAUUUGGAUUAAUACCCCAUAAUAUUAUUGGAUGGCAUCAUUUGAUAAUUAAAACUGCGGUGGUGAAAGAUGGGCAUGCGUCCUAUUAGCUAGUUGGAGUGGUAACGGCACCCCAAGGCUACGAUAGGUAGGGGUCCUGAGAGGGAGAUCCCCCACACUGGUACUGAGACAGGGACCAGACUCCUACGGGAGGCAGCAGUGAGGAAUAUUGGUCAAGGGUCGGAAGACUGAACCAGCCAUGCCGCGUGCAGGAAGAAUGCCUUAUGGGUUGUAAACUGCUUUUAUAUGGGAAGAAUAAGGCGUACGUGUACGUUGAUGGCGGUACCAUAUGAAUAAGCAACGGCUAACUCCGUG